RNAcentral lists this ribosomal RNA (256 nucleotides) under uncultured Gardnerella sp. RNAcentral describes it as "partial 16S ribosomal RNA". It matches the Rfam family "Bacterial small subunit ribosomal RNA", at positions 99 to 354 of the family's 1533-position model. Lineage: Bacteria; Bacillati; Actinomycetota; Actinomycetes; Bifidobacteriales; Bifidobacteriaceae. The record is from RNAcentral.
CGAACGGGUGAGUAAUGCGUGACCAACCUGCCCCAUGCUCCAGAAUAGCUCUUGGAAACGGGUGGUAACGCUGGAUGCUCCAACUUGACGCAUGUCUUGUUGGGAAAGUGUUUAGUGGCAUGGGAUGGGGUCGCGUCCUAUCAGCUUGUAGGCGGGGUAAUGGCCCACCUAGGCUUCGACGGGUAGCCGGCCUGAGAGGGCGGACGGCCACAUUGGGACUGAGAUACGGCCCAGACUCCUACGGGAGGCAGCAGAG